This 404-nucleotide ribosomal RNA is filed under the name uncultured Candidatus Saccharibacteria bacterium. Its description in RNAcentral is "bacterial SSU rRNA". It matches the Rfam family "Bacterial small subunit ribosomal RNA", at positions 355 to 774 of the family's 1533-position model. The record is from RNAcentral. Lineage: Bacteria; Candidatus Saccharimonadota.
UAAGGAAUCUUCCACAAUGGGCGAAAGCCUGAUGGAGCAACGCCGCGUGCAGGAUGAAGGCCUUCGGGUCGUAAACUGCUUUUAUGAGUGAAGAAUAUGACGGUAACUCAUGAAUAAGGGUCGGCUAACUACGUGCCAGCAGCCGCGGUCAUACGUAGGACCCAAGCGUUAUCCGGAGUGACUGGGCGUAAAGAGUUGCGUAGGUGGUUAGUAAAGUGAAUAGUGAAAGCUGGUGGCUCAACCAUACAGACUAUUAUUCAUACUCACUAACUCGAGAACAGCAGAGGUAACUGGAAUUUCUGAAGUAGGGGUAAUAUCCGUAGAUAUCAGAAGGAACACCAAUGGCGUAGGCAGGUUACUGGGCUGUUUCUGACACUGAGGCACGAAAGCGUGGGGAGCGAACC